RNAcentral lists this transfer RNA (73 nucleotides) under Camelus bactrianus (Bactrian camel). It matches the Rfam family "tRNA". Rfam says of the family: Transfer RNA (tRNA) molecules are approximately 80 nucleotides in length. Their secondary structure includes four short double-helical elements and three loops (D, anti-codon, and T loops). RNAcentral also lists the same sequence under 2 other names. The record is from Rfam by way of RNAcentral. Lineage: Eukaryota; Metazoa; Chordata; Mammalia; Artiodactyla; Camelidae.
GAGGGUAUAGCUCAAGUGGUAGAGUGCAUGCUUAGCAUGCAAGAGGUCCUGGGUUCAAUCUCCAGUACCUACA